This 386-nucleotide ribosomal RNA is filed under the name uncultured eukaryote. RNAcentral describes it as "partial 18S ribosomal RNA". It matches the Rfam family "Eukaryotic small subunit ribosomal RNA", at positions 592 to 975 of the family's 1831-position model. The record is from RNAcentral.
CAAUAGCGUAUAUUAACGUUGUUGCAGUUAAAAAGCUCGUAGUUGGAUUUCUGACAGGAGUGACCGGUCCGAGUCGCAAGACUCGUGUACUUUUGUGUCUUACUCUAGUCAUCCUUAUGGAGAUUGUGUUUCGGCAUUGAGUUGUCGGGCAUAGGACCCAUAUCGUUUACUGUGAAAAAAUUAGAGUGUUUAAAGCAGGCAAUUGCUGUGAAUACAUUAGCAUGGAAUAAUAAGAUAGGACUUUGGUGCUAUUUUGUUGGUUUGCCACCAAGGUAAUGAUUAAGAGGGACAGUUGGGGGUAUUCGUAUUUAAUUGUCAGAGGUGAAAUUCUUGGAUUUAUGAAAGACGAACUACUGCGAAAGCAUUUACCAAGGAUGUUUUCAUUA